UUGUCUCGUAGCUCAGUUGGUCAGAGCGCUCGCCUGAUAAGCGGGAGGUCAGUGGUUCAAGUCCACUCGAGACAACCAA
Molecule: transfer RNA, 79 nt
Filed under: Erwinia phage vB_EamM_ChrisDB
Lineage: Duplodnaviria; Heunggongvirae; Uroviricota; Caudoviricetes; Chimalliviridae
Description: tRNA-Ile
Rfam family: tRNA
About the family: Transfer RNA (tRNA) molecules are approximately 80 nucleotides in length. Their secondary structure includes four short double-helical elements and three loops (D, anti-codon, and T loops). Further hydrogen bonds mediate the characteristic L-shaped molecular structure. tRNAs have two regions of fundamental functional importance: the anti-codon, which is responsible for specific mRNA codon recognition, and the 3' end, to which the tRNAs corresponding amino acid is attached (by aminoacyl-tRNA synthetases). tRNAs cope with the degeneracy of the genetic code in two manners: having more than one tRNA (with a specific anti-codon) for a particular amino acid; and 'wobble' base-pairing, i.e. permitting non-standard base-pairing at the 3rd anti-codon position.
Source: RNAcentral